Molecule: ribosomal RNA, 499 nt
Filed under: uncultured bacterium
Lineage: Bacteria
Description: partial 16S ribosomal RNA
Rfam family: Bacterial small subunit ribosomal RNA
Source: RNAcentral
GACGAACGCUGGCGGCGUGCUUAACACAUGCAAGUCGAACUGGCCCGCCCCUGUUUUUGGGGGUGGGUUGAGUGGCGAACGGGUGAGUAUCACGUGAGUAACCUGCCCCCUGCUCCUGGAUAACUGCUUGAAAGGGCGGCUAAUACGGGGUGUGCCGGCUGGUCCGCAUGGGCCUGGUCGGGAUAGUUUCAUCUUCGGGUGUUUCGGUGGGGGAUGGGCUCGCGGCCUAUCAGCUUGUUGGUGGGGUGAUGGCCCACCAAGGCGGUGACGGGUAGCCGGCCUGAGAGGGUGGGCGGCCACACUGGGACUGAGACACGGCCCAGACUCCUGCGGGAGGCAGCAGUGGGGGGUAUUGCACAAUGGGCGGAAGCCUGAUGCAGCGACGUCGCGUGAGGGAUGGAGGCCUUCGGGUGGUGAACCUCUUUCUCCGGUGGUGAAGGCCCUGUCCGUUGCGGCGGGGUUGACGGUAGCCGGGUAUGAAGCGCCGGCUAACUACGUG